Molecule: long non-coding RNA, 140 nt
Organism: Anguilla anguilla (European eel)
Lineage: Eukaryota; Metazoa; Chordata; Actinopteri; Anguilliformes; Anguillidae
Exons: 3
Source: RefSeq, a predicted model, not a curated record
GCGUCUUCCAGACAACUUCAGAGGAGAGUUCACAGGUGAUCAAAGGAUCCACUGCUCACAGGUGUCCAAGCAUAUUGUAGAGAGGAGUUCAGAGAAACUGUUCUCAAAACAGCUGACCAGCAGCCUUGUGAAGCAGAAGG